CUUGCCUCGAGAGAAUGCUAAUGGAAAUUGAGAAAAGUCUGCAUCAGUCUCGUGAAAAGGAGAGAGCAGAUACAGAAGCUUGGGUUAUAGAAAAUAUCAAGUCAAACCCUAAAGCCUUCUUAAAGUUUGCCAAAGAGAUGGCCGCAGUGUGCCAGAGGAUAGGACCUCUCUUCCAAAAAGAUGGUUCUCUCACAGGAAAUCCCAUGAGGAUAAGUGAAAUACUGAAUGAACACCUUCAUUUUGUGA
Molecule: long non-coding RNA, 246 nt
Organism: Octopus sinensis (East Asian common octopus)
Lineage: Eukaryota; Metazoa; Mollusca; Cephalopoda; Octopoda; Octopodidae
Exons: 3
Source: RefSeq, a predicted model, not a curated record